CAUAUCAAUAAGCGGAGGAAAAGAAACCAACAGGGAUUGCCUCAGUAACGGCGAGUGAAGCGGCAAAAGCUCAAAUUUGAAACCCUCGGGAUUGUAAUUUGAAGAUUUGGCAUUGGAGAAAGCUAACCCAAGUUACUUGGAAUAGUACGUCAUAGAGGGUGACAACCCCGUCUGGCUAACCGUUCUCCAUGUAUUGCCUUAUCAAAGAGUCGAGUUGUUUGGGAAUGCAGCUCAAAGUGGGUGGUAAACUCCAUCUAAAGCUAAAUACUGGUGAGAGACCGAUAGCGAACAAGUACUGUGAAGGAAAGGUGAAAAGAACUUUGAAAAGAGAGUGAAAUAGUAUGUGAAAUUGUUGAUAGGGAAGGAAAUGAGCGGAGAGUGGUUGAGGUUUCAGCCUCCCUUUGGGGUGGUGUAUUGCCGACGCCGAGUCAUUGUCCGCGAGACGAGAAAAACAAACGGGUUGCAUUCAUGCUUCUCACCUUUUUCUCCCACUGCAGUCAACGACAUAAUCCGCCCAUUUCACCCGUCUUGAAACACGGACCAAGGAGUCUAAUGGAUAUGUGAGUGUUAGGGUGCUAAACCCCAGCGCGCAAUGAAAGUGAAUGAUUCGUUCAGAAUCGACCGAACUUGAUUUUUAUGACAGUUUUGAGUAAACACAUCCAUUGGGACCCGAAAGAUGGUGAACUAUGCCUGAAUAGGGUGAAGUCAGAGGAAACUCUGAUGGAGGCUCGUAGCGGUUCUGACGUGCAAAUCGAUCGUAGAAUUUGGGUAUAGGGGCGAAAGACUAAUCGAACCAUCUAGUAGCUGGUUCCUGC
RNAcentral lists this ribosomal RNA (815 nucleotides) under uncultured Yarrowia. Its description in RNAcentral is "LSU rRNA". It matches the Rfam family "Eukaryotic large subunit ribosomal RNA", at positions 39 to 961 of the family's 3401-position model. Lineage: Eukaryota; Fungi; Ascomycota; Dipodascomycetes; Dipodascales; Dipodascaceae. The record is from RNAcentral.